Molecule: ribosomal RNA, 253 nt
Filed under: uncultured bacterium
Lineage: Bacteria
Description: partial 16S ribosomal RNA
Rfam family: Bacterial small subunit ribosomal RNA
Source: RNAcentral
UACGUAGGGUGCAAGCGUUGUCCGGAAUUAUUGGGCGUAAAGAGCUCGUAGGCGGUUUGUUGCGUCGGCUGUGAAAACCCGGAGCUCAACUCCGGGCCUGCAGUCGAUACGGGCAGACUGGAGUUCGGCAGGGGAGACUGGAAUUCCUGGUGUAGCGGUGAAAUGCGCAGAUAUCAGGAGGAACACCGGUGGCGAAGGCGAGUCUCUGGGCCGAUACUGACGCUGAGGAGCGAAAGCGUGGGGAGCGAACAGG